GGGUUGUGAGGUUAAGCGACUAAGCGUACACGGUGGAUGCCCUGGCAGUCAGAGGCGAUGAAGGGCGUGCUAAUCUGCGAUAAGCGCCGGUAAGGUGAUAUGAACCGUUAUAACCGGCGAUACCCGAAUGGGGAAACCCAGUGUGAUUCGUCACACUAUCAUUAACUGAAUCCAUAGGUUAAUGAGGCGAACCGGGGGAACUGAAACAUCUAAGUACCCCGAGGAAAAGAAAUCAACCGAGAUUCCCCCAGUAGCGGCGAGCGAACGGGGAGGAGCCCAGAGCCUGAAUCAGCAUGUGUGUUAGUGGAAGCGUCUGGAAAGGCGCGCGAUACAGGGUGACAGCCCCGUACACAAAAGCGCAUGUGCUGUGAGCUCGAUGAGUAGGGCGGGACACGUGGUAUCCUGUCUGAAUAUGGGGGGACCAUCCUCCAAGGCUAAAUACUCCUGACUGACCGAUAGUGAACCAGUACCGUGAGGGAAAGGCGAAAAGAACCCCGGCGAGGGGAGUGAAAAAGAACCUGAAACCGUGUACGUACAAGCAGUGGGAGCCCGUGACUGCGUACCUUUUGUAUAAUGGGUCAGCGACUUAUAUUCUGUAGCAAGGUUAACCGAAUAGGGGAGCCGGAGGGAAACCGAGUCUUAAUUGGGCGUUAAGUUGCAGGGUAUAGACCCGAAACCCGGUGAUCUAGCCAUGGGCAGGUUGAAGGUUGGGUAACACUAACUGGAGGACCGAACCGACUAAUGUUGAAAAAUUAGCGGAUGACCUGUGGCUGGGGGUGAAAGGCCAAUCAAACCGGGAGAUAGCUGGUUCUCCCCGAAAGCUAUUUAGGUAGCGCCUCGUGAAUUCAUCUCCGGGGGUAGAGCACUGUUUCGGCUAGGGGGCCAUCCCGGCUUACCAACCCGAUGCAAACUGCGAAUACCGGAGAAUGUUAUCACGGGAGACACACGGCGGGUGCUAACGUCCGUCGUGAAGAGGGAAACAACCCAGACCGCCAGCUAAGGUCCCAAAGUCAUGGUUAAGUGGGAAACGAUGUGGGAAGGCCCAGACAGCCAGGAUGUUGGCUUAGAAGCAGCCAUCAUUUAAAGAAAGCGUAAUAGCUCACUGGUCGAGUCGGCCUGCGCGGAAGAUGUAACGGGGCUAAACCAUGCACCGAAGCUGCGGCAGCGAACGUUGGGUAGGGGAGCGUUCUGUAAGCCUGUGAAGGUGGCCUGUGAGGGUUGCUGGAGGUAUCAGAAGUGCGAAUGCUGACAUAAGUAACGAUAAAGCGGGUGAAAAGCCCGCUCGCCGGAAGACCAAGGGUUCCUGUCCAACGUUAAUCGGGGCAGGGUGAGUCGACCCCUAAGGCGAGGCCGAAAGGCGUAGUCGAUGGGAAACGGGUUAAUAUUCCCGUACUUGGUGUUACUGCGAAGGGGGGACGGAGAAGGCUAUGUUGGCCGGGCGACGGUUGUCCCGGUUUAAGCGUGUAGGCUGGUUUUCCAGGCAAAUCCGGAAAAUCAAGGCUGAGGCGUGACGACGAGGCACUACGGUGCUGAAGCAACAAAUGCCCUGCUUCCAGGAAAAGCCUCUAAGCAUCAGGUAACAUCAAAUCGUACCCCAAACCGACACAGGUGGUCAGGUAGAGAAUACCAAGGCGCUUGAGAGAACUCGGGUGAAGGAACUAGGCAAAAUGGUGCCGUAACUUCGGGAGAAGGCACGCUGACACGUAGGUGAAGUGAUUUACUCAUGGAGCUGAAGUCAGUCGAAGAUACCAGCUGGCUGCAACUGUUUAUUAAAAACACAGCACUGUGCAAACACGAAAGUGGACGUAUACGGUGUGACGCCUGCCCGGUGCCGGAAGGUUAAUUGAUGGGGUCAGCGCAAGCGAAGCUCCUGAUCGAAGCCCCGGUAAACGGCGGCCGUAACUAUAACGGUCCUAAGGUAGCGAAAUUCCUUGUCGGGUAAGUUCCGACCUGCACGAAUGGCGUAAUGAUGGCCAGGCUGUCUCCACCCGAGACUCAGUGAAAUUGAACUCGCUGUGAAGAUGCAGUGUACCCGCGGCAAGACGGAAAGACCCCGUGAACCUUUACUAUAGCUUGACACUGAACAUUGAGCCUUGAUGUGUAGGAUAGGUGGGAGGCUUUGAAGAUCCGGGUUGCGGACAGUGUCUGGUGGGUAGUUUGACUGGGGCGGUCUCCUCCUAAAGAGUAACGGAGGAGCACGAAGGUUGGCUAAUCCUGGUCGGACAUCAGGAGGUUAGUGCAAUGGCAUAAGCCAGCUUGACUGCGAGCGUGACGGCGCGAGCAGGUGCGAAAGCAGGUCAUAGUGAUCCGGUGGUUCUGAAUGGAAGGGCCAUCGCUCAACGGAUAAAAGGUACUCCGGGGAUAACAGGCUGAUACCGCCCAAGAGUUCAUAUCGACGGCGGUGUUUGGCACCUCGAUGUCGGCUCAUCACAUCCUGGGGCUGAAGUAGGUCCCAAGGGUAUGGCUGUUCGCCAUUUAAAGUGGUACGCGAGCUGGGUUUAGAACGUCGUGAGACAGUUCGGUCCCUAUCUGCCGUGGGCGCUGGAGAACUGAGGGGGGCUGCUCCUAGUACGAGAGGACCGGAGUGGACGCAUCACUGGUGUUCGGGUUGUCAUGCCAAUGGCACUGCCCGGUAGCUAAAUGCGGAAGAGAUAAGUGCUGAAAGCAUCUAAGCACGAAACUUGCCCCGAGAUGAGUUCUCCCUGAGACUUAGAGUCUCCUGAAGGAACGUUGAAGACGACGACGUUGAUAGGCCGGGUGUGUAAGCGCAGCGAUGCGUUGAGCUAACCGGUACUAAUGAACCGUGAGGCUUAACCUUACAACGCCGAAG
This 2830-nucleotide ribosomal RNA is filed under the name Salmonella enterica subsp. enterica serovar Anatum. RNAcentral's name for it is "bacterial LSU rRNA". It matches the Rfam family "Bacterial large subunit ribosomal RNA". The record is from RNAcentral. Lineage: Bacteria; Pseudomonadati; Pseudomonadota; Gammaproteobacteria; Enterobacterales; Enterobacteriaceae.